GACGAACGCUGGCGGCGUGCUUAACACAUGCAAGUCGAACGGAAAGGCCCCCUUGUGGGGUACUCGAGUGGCGAACGGGUGAGUAACACGUGAGUAACCUACCCUUGACUUUGGGAUAACUUCAGGAAACUGGGGCUAAUACCGGAUAGGAGCUCCUGCUGCAUGGUGGGGGUUGGAAAGUUUCGGCGGUUGGGGAUGGACUCGCGGCUUAUCAGCUUGUUGGUGGGGUAGUGGCUCACCAAGGCUUUGACGGGUAGCCGGCCUGAGAGGGUGACCGGCCACAUUGGGACUGAGAUACGGCCCAGACUCCUACGGGAGGCAGCAGUGGGGAAUAUUGCACAAUGGGCGGAAGCCUGAUGCAGCAACGCCGCGUGCGGGAUGACGGCUUUCGGGUUGUAAACCGCUUUCGCCUGUGACGAAGCGUGAGUGACGGUAAUGGGUAAAGAAGCACCGGCUAACUACGUG
Molecule: ribosomal RNA, 465 nt
Filed under: uncultured bacterium
Lineage: Bacteria
Description: partial 16S ribosomal RNA
Rfam family: Bacterial small subunit ribosomal RNA
Source: RNAcentral